UCAGGAUGAACGCUAGCGGCAGGCUUAACACAUGCAAGUCGAGGGGCAUCGGGUCUAGCAAUAGAUGCCGGCGACCGGCGAAAGGGUGAGUAACGCGUGAGCAACGUGCCCGUAUGUGGGGGAUAGUCAUUGGAAACGAUGCGUAAUACCCCGUAACACAUUAUUCCGCAUGGGAUGAUGUUGAAAGAUUGAUUGCAUACGGAUCGGCUCGCGUACCAUUAGGUAGACGGCGGGGUAACGGCCCACCGUGCCGACGAUGGUUAGGGGUUCUGAGAGGAAGGUCCCCCACAUUGGAACUGAGACACGGUCCAGACUCCUACGGGAGGCAGCAGUGAGGAAUAUUGGACAAUGGCCGGAAGGCUGAUCCAGCCAUGCCGCGUGCGGGAUGACGGCCCUAUGGGUUGUAAACCGCUUUUGCGGGGGAGCAAUAAGGUGCACGUGUGCACCGAUGAGAGUACCCUGCGAAUAAGCAUCGGCUACCUCCGUGCCAGCCGCAGC
RNAcentral lists this ribosomal RNA (498 nucleotides) under uncultured bacterium. RNAcentral's name for it is "bacterial SSU rRNA". It matches the Rfam family "Bacterial small subunit ribosomal RNA", at positions 24 to 518 of the family's 1533-position model. The record is from RNAcentral.